RNAcentral lists this ribosomal RNA (253 nucleotides) under uncultured bacterium. RNAcentral describes it as "partial 16S ribosomal RNA". It matches the Rfam family "Bacterial small subunit ribosomal RNA", at positions 524 to 776 of the family's 1533-position model. The record is from RNAcentral.
UACGUAGGGUGCAAGCGUUGUCCGGAAUUAUUGGGCGUAAAGAGCGUGUAGGCGGCCAGAUAGGUCUGCUGUGAAAACUCGAGGCUUAACCUCGAGAUGUCGGCGGAAACCAUCUGGCUAGAGUCCGGAAGAGGAGAAUGGAAUUCCCGGUGUAGCGGUGAAAUGCGCAGAUAUCGGGAAGAACACCCGUGGCGAAGGCGGUUCUCUGGGACGGUACUGACGCUGAGGCGCGAAAGCGUGGGGAGCAAACAGG